Molecule: ribosomal RNA, 1170 nt
Filed under: Aurantiochytrium limacinum
Lineage: Eukaryota; Bigyra; Thraustochytrida; Thraustochytriidae
Description: partial Bacterial large subunit ribosomal RNA
Rfam family: Bacterial large subunit ribosomal RNA
Source: RNAcentral
UCAGUACCGUGAGGGAAAGGCGAAAAGAACCCCGGGAGGGGAGUGAAAUAGAUCCUGAAACCGUGUGCGUACAAGCAGUAGGAGCUCGCAAGAGUGACUGCGUACCUUUUGUAUAAUGGGUCAGCGACUUACUGUUCGUGGCAAGCUUAACCGUAUAGGGGAGGCGAAGGGAAACCGAGUCUGAUAAGGGCGCAUAGUCGCGGGCAGUAGACCCGAAACCGGGUGAUCUAGUCAUGGCCAGGGUGAAGGUGCCGUAACAGGUACUGGAGGCCCGAACCCACGUCUGUUGCAAAAGACGGGGAUGAGCUGUGAUUAGGAGUGAAAAGCUAAUCGAACCCGGAGAUAGCUGGUUCUCCUCGAAAGCUAUUUAGGUAGCGCCUCGGACGAAUACUACUGGGGGUAGAGCACUGUUAUGGCUAGGGGGUCAUCGCGACUUACCAAACCAUUGCAAACUCCGAAUACCAGUACGUACUAUCCGGGAGACACACGGCGGGUGCUAACGUCCGUCGUGAAAAGGGAAACAACCCAGACCCACAGCUAAGGUCCCAAAUUCACUGCUAAGUGGAAAACGAUGUGGAAAGGCAUAGACAGCCAGGAGGUUGGCUUAGAAGCAGCCACCCUUUAAAGAAAGCGUAAUAGCUCACUAGUCGAGUCGGCCUGCGCGGAAGAUGUAACGGGGCUCAAACUAGGAGCCGAAGCUGCGGAUUUAAUUGUUUCAAUUAAGUGGUAGGGGAGCAUUGUGUAAGCCUGUGAAGGUGUGUUGUAAAGCAUGCUGGAGGUAUCACAAGAGCGAAUGCUGACGUGAGUAACGACAAUGCGAGUGAAAAGCUCGCACGCCGGAAGACCAAGGGUUCCAGUCCAACGUUAAUCGGGGCUGGGUGAGUCGACCCCUAAGGCGAGGCCGAAAGGCGUAGUCGAUGGGAAAUCGGUUAAUAUUCCGAUACUUGUUUAUGAUGCGAUGGAGGGACGGAGAAGGUUAUGCCAGCUUGGCGAUGGUUGUCCAAGUGGAAGGAUGUAGUUAGGUUUAGUAGGCAAAUCCGCUAGACUAUUAAUGAGAUCUGAUAGCAAGCUGUACUUGUACAGCGAAGUGGCAAAUACCCUGCUUCCAGGAAAAGCUUCUAAGCGAUAGUCAUAAACAAAUCGUACCCUAAACCGACACAGGUGGUCAGG